Molecule: transfer RNA, 71 nt
Filed under: Stegodyphus mimosarum
Lineage: Eukaryota; Metazoa; Arthropoda; Arachnida; Araneae; Eresidae
Rfam family: tRNA
About the family: Transfer RNA (tRNA) molecules are approximately 80 nucleotides in length. Their secondary structure includes four short double-helical elements and three loops (D, anti-codon, and T loops).
Source: Rfam by way of RNAcentral
GCUUUCGUGGUGUAGCGGUAGUACACUCGGCGCGUAAUCGAGAGGUCCAGGUUCGAGUCCCGCCGAGGGUA